RNAcentral lists this ribosomal RNA (832 nucleotides) under Fusarium oxysporum. RNAcentral describes it as "SSU rRNA". It matches the Rfam family "Eukaryotic small subunit ribosomal RNA", at positions 99 to 938 of the family's 1831-position model. Lineage: Eukaryota; Fungi; Ascomycota; Sordariomycetes; Hypocreales; Nectriaceae. The record is from RNAcentral.
CAUAUAUAUAAGUUAUCGUUUAUUUGAUAGUACCUUACUACUUGGAUAACCGUGGUAAUUCUAGAGCUAAUACAUGCUAAAAAUCCCGACUUCGGAAGGGAUGUAUUUAUUAGAUUAAAAACCAAUGCCCUUCGGGGCUCACUGGUGAUUCAUGAUAACUCCUCGAAUCGCAUGGCCUUGUGCCGGCGAUGGUUCAUUCAAAUUUCUUCCCUAUCAACUUUCGAUGUUUGGGUAUUGGCCAAACAUGGUUGCAACGGGUAACGGAGGGUUAGGGCUCGACCCCGGAGAAGGAGCCUGAGAAACGGCUACUACAUCCAAGGAAGGCAGCAGGCGCGCAAAUUACCCAAUCCCGACACGGGGAGGUAGUGACAAUAAAUACUGAUACAGGGCUCUUUUGGGUCUUGUAAUUGGAAUGAGUACAAUUUAAAUCCCUUAACGAGGAACAAUUGGAGGGCAAGUCUGGUGCCAGCAGCCGCGGUAAUUCCAGCUCCAAUAGCGUAUAUUAAAGUUGUUGUGGUUAAAAAGCUCGUAGUUGAACCUUGGGCCUGGCUGGCCGGUCCGCCUCACCGCGUGUACUGGUCCGGCCGGGCCUUUCCCUCUGUGGAACCCCAUGCCCUUCACUGGGUGUGGCGGGGAAACAGGACUUUUACUGUGAAAAAAUUAGAGUGCUCCAGGCAGGCCUAUGCUCGAAUACAUUAGCAUGGGAAUAAUAGAAUAGGACGUGUGGUUCUAUUUUGUUGGUUUCUAGGACCGCCGUAAUGAUUAAUAGGGACAGUCGGGGGCAUCAGUAUUCAAUUGUCAGAGGUGAAAUUCUUGGAUUUAUUGAAGACUA